Molecule: non-coding RNA, 23 nt
Filed under: Cricetulus griseus (Chinese hamster)
Lineage: Eukaryota; Metazoa; Chordata; Mammalia; Rodentia; Cricetidae
Source: RNAcentral
UAUCUCUUUCAGGGAAGGUCUGG